Molecule: long non-coding RNA, 1508 nt
Filed under: Homo sapiens (human)
Lineage: Eukaryota; Metazoa; Chordata; Mammalia; Primates; Hominidae
Description: PREDICTED lncRNA (TCONS_00224057)
Source: RNAcentral
GGACUUGACCUCCGCCUGGCACCCUGGCGUAAGGGUGAUUGCCACAUCUCGGAUUCGCCGCGGGGCAACUACCUGGGAAAACCGCAGACUGGGCAAUGAAAGACUACAUCCGGCAACCGGAUGCUGGGUUCUGUGACUCCAGGAAAAGGGGCUCCUGGGCCCAGGGAGAACAUACUAGGCGAUCUCGACAGUCGCUCCGUGACAGCCCACCAACCCCCAACCCUCUACCUCGCAGCCACCCUAAAGGCGACUUCAAGAAGAUGGAAGGAUCUCACGGAUCUCAUUCCUAAUGGUCCGCCGAAGUCUCACACAGUAGACAGACGGAGUUGAGAUGCUGGAGGAUGCAGUCACCUCCUAAACUUACGACCCACCACCAGACUUCAUCCCAGCCGGGACGUCCUCCCCCACCCGAGUCCUCCCCAUUUCUUCUCCUACUUUGCCGCAGUUCCAGGUGUCCUGCUUCCACCAGUCCCACAAAGCUCAAUAAAUACCAAGAGACCUGCAUUUACAGCAGGGGGAACAUCUCACACCCUUGCAUAAGUUAAAAUAAAUAUUACGUACACAUCUCCAUCACCUAGGAGGACGUACAUAAAUACAUAUAAAUAUUAAUUAGGAGCAAUAAGAAAUAAAUUAACGACGCUCUCCUUCCCACCGGGCCUAGCCCCAGCUGGGCUGUGCCUCGGUCUCUAUGCGCCUCGGUCUCUGUGCGCCUCGGUCCCGCCUCAAGCACCGGGUGGCGUCUCCGCUGUAGUGUUCUGAGUUCAAGUUGCCUCGGAAGUCCCAGUUGGGGAUACGCUCUCGCGCACCAGGUACGCCUGGUGUUUCUUUGUGGUUUUUCGGAUUCUUUUUGGGGAGUGCGGGGAGUCACAGUUAGAAGGCGGCCGGGUGUUGCUGGAGGAAAGUGCUGAGGUCCAGAGCGUAGUCCGAGGGCUCCGAAGUCAGAUUAAAGGGCUCGAGGACGGCGGACACAGGGGUGGGCGCCAGGGAUGCGGCGUUAGGGGCGUCCUCUGGAGGCAGGGGCGCCGGCACACCCUCUUCAGCCAUCAGGAUCUGGCAGAAGACGAUGGUGAGCAGCAGAAAGAGAAGCCUUUUGGCUGGGUUCGGUUCCUCGACUGGCAGCUGGCGCCGGACCUAAGGGGAGACAAAACAGGAGACAGGUCAGGUCGAGGCCUCUGGAGUCGGGUCGUUCCCCAGUGACUCCAGGGCAGCGCACCCCGCGAAUGCCCACUUCGGCGAUACUCACCACUCGAGGGUAGAGAACCCUGCGGCUGCGCUUUCGGUGCCCGCGAGAGGCGCUGGGGCGCCCGGCAGGGGCCGCUGCGGGCUCCGGGAGAGGGUCGAAGGUGAAGAUCUCAGGACCGGAGCCCCGCCGGGGUCCCGGGAUGGUGGAGGGGGCCGGGGUCGGGGCCUGCAGGAUGGUCAUGGUCGGGUGGCAGCUGCGAGAGUGACACAUGGUGAGCCGAGCGGAGUGUAAGGCCAAGUGAGGGUCGGCUGCCGGCAGAGGUAAU